Molecule: ribosomal RNA, 501 nt
Filed under: uncultured bacterium
Lineage: Bacteria
Description: partial 16S ribosomal RNA
Rfam family: Bacterial small subunit ribosomal RNA
Source: RNAcentral
GACGAACGCUGGCGGCGUGCCUAAUACAUGCAAGUCGAGCGGACCGGAUUGGGGCUUGCCUUGAUUCGGUCAGCGGCGGACGGGUGAGUAACACGUGGGCAACCUGCCCGCAAGACCGGGAUAACUCCGGGAAACCGGAGCUAAUACCGGAUAACACCGAAGACCGCAUGGUCUUCGGUUGAAAGGCGGCCUUUGGGCUGUCACUUGCGGAUGGGCCCGCGGCGCAUUAGCUAGUUGGUGAGGUAACGGCUCACCAAGGCGACGAUGCGUAGCCGGCCUGAGGGGGUGACCGGCCACACUGGGACUGAGACACGGCCCAGACUCCUACGGGAGGCAGCAGUAGGGAAUCUUCCGCAAGGGGCGAAAGCCUGACGGAGCGACGCCGCGUGAGCGAAGAAGGCCUUCGGGUCGUAAAGCUCUGUUGUGAGGGACGAAGGAGCGUCGUUCGAAGAGGGCGGCGCGGUGACGGUACCUCACGAGAAAGCCCCGGCUAACUACGUG